AAUUUAGAAGGACUCACUCAAGGCUUCAAGGGAAUCAUCAUCAAGAGCACCACACCUCUAUUUUGGAUAGUUGGGUGAAGAAAUUGUUUGGUUCAUACUAGCUCAUAGCUAGGAGUGACUAAGCUAACUCUCCAUUCUCUUCCUUAUUAUCUAUUCCAUAAUUUUAUUUGCUAUUGAUGAUGUAUUUAACUAUGGAUAGUGAGUAGUUCAAUUUUGGGAGUUAGGGUUGUGAAGCCCUAACUCAUCUUGUAUAAAUAUUGAUGCUUUAAUUUUAAUAAAUGCAAUUUUCAUUGUGCUUUGUCACCCUUUGAAAUUAUGUUGUGGGCAAUUGUGAUGAAUAGAUUGAUAAAUUGACAACUUAUUGGUCUUGUUGCAUCUAGGAUUUAAGUGUGGUAACCAUUAGCUAGCUUAAUUGUAGCUAAGCUUGCUUGGGUCUCUAUUAUCUUGCACUCUAGGCCUCUAAUUUUAGAUAUUGCGGCCUUAACCGGCGUAAUGCCUAAAUUAGAGAGUUGAUUGUGGCCCUAACCGGCAUAAUCGAUACACCGAAAGGAUAAUUGGUUUAGUAGCCUUGACCGGUACUAAAUACGGGACUUAACACAUAUAGGAAAUGCAUGCAUUUAUGAAAUUGGCACCGAUAUUU
Molecule: long non-coding RNA, 640 nt
Filed under: Rosa chinensis
Lineage: Eukaryota; Viridiplantae; Streptophyta; Magnoliopsida; Rosales; Rosaceae
Description: sRNA RchiOBHm_Chr2g0156311
Source: RNAcentral